CACACACACACACUUUCCUGGUAUACUCCUUGCAUCUGACUGCAUUAGCACGUCGGAAGGUUUCUGAGUUCAUCUGGCUCCAAAUCUAUAGUUCAUCAUUACAGCCCAUCAGCGAGCAUGAUCGAUACACGCUGCCUCUGGCCCACCCCUCGAAAUAAUCCUGGUUGCCUAUGCUCUAGCCAGGCAUUACAGCUCCACUCCGUGUUCUGGGGUUCCCUGACCUGUGGCAAGCUGGGAACCCUUUCCAUUCUGUUCAUCACCUGGGGAAAGGAAACUUCGUGAUGUUCGCACGCCUUUUGGAAAGACUCCCAAAGGCAUGUGGGUAAUAAAUGAACGGAGCUUUGGACGUGACCUUCCAGAUAAGGAAAGAUGUUCUGCAUAAAGCCCUAUCUUAACGAGGGGGAGUGAAUGAACGCUGGGUGAACCUGGAGCCGAGCGCGCAGGCAGAAGCCCUGUGCAGCCAGAAGACCCUGUGCGAGGGGCUUCCCUGUGUUUAACCUCUUGCUUCACCACCUCCAGUGACUGCAGCAGCUCUGCUUAUUCUCCGGAGGGCUUGCGGGGCCAAUCGAUCCCCUGGGAUUGCACAUCUCUGGCCACUUGAUGGCGCCCCAAUGGCCCUCACCGUAUGUCUCCCUGCAAGAAGGAAAAGUGUUUUCCUUACCUGAACGGAUCCUUCUCGGUGACAACGGUUAGGCUGGGGAGAGAAAAGAUUUAUAAUUAACCAGCUCUUGGCAGAAUUGCGGGGGGGGGGGGAUUGCUAAUUCGUAUGCACGCUGCUUGCUCCAAUUGGGCAAAGGCCAGUCAUGGGGCACCGCUCAUCCUAAGGAAUUGCCAUAAACUGUCUAUUAGAAGUGACAGACAGGCGUUAAUGCACCGCAACCGUGCGCGCGGUGCUGGAUGGCAGCUCUUCCCCCACUCCCCUGGCUGCCUCGGGCAAAAUAAUUAUUCGACGCAUUUCAGAGUUGGGGGGCGGGGCUGGGUGUGUCGGGGGAAGAUCAGGAAGCCAGAGCAGAGUCAAAGAUUUGAAGUUAGCUGCAGAGUUGGGCAGGAAUGGUUUAACAUCGCCUAGGGGGUAAUGCCUUUUGUGAUAAGAGUGCCCACUCAAAGAAGUGUCUGGGAGUGAAAAGAAACGGAGGAUUAUUGAUAAAAGAAUUGAUCUAAAAAGGCCGAUCUCUUUCUUGCUUUGGUGGCCGAACUGGACAAGGAGACAGGAGACCCGCUUAUUCUUUUAAAGGGGUACAAAGGAGGACAAGUGUGCUGUCAGAUACACACGAAUAUUUCGUGUGUGUGUGUAUGUGUGUAUGUGUAAUCCUACUAGCAACAAAAACAUUACAAUGACCUCGAACAACCAACAACAAUAAUCAAACAAAAACUGAAGUCCCUUCCUGUGCUUAUUUUUUCAGACAGUUCAGUCAAAUCCCAGGUCAUGAAAUCUCUCCAGUUAUCAGGAUCAGUUAAAAAAAAAACCCAACAACCCAGUGACUUCCAACAGCAGA
Mauremys reevesii (Reeves's turtle) is the source of this 1496-nucleotide long non-coding RNA. RefSeq lists it as uncharacterized. The transcript has 2 exons. NCBI's taxonomy places the organism in Eukaryota, Metazoa, Chordata, Testudines, Geoemydidae. The record is from RefSeq and is a predicted model, not a curated record.